This 90-nucleotide transfer RNA is filed under the name Pangasius djambal. RNAcentral's name for it is "tRNA-Arg". It matches the Rfam family "tRNA". Rfam says of the family: Transfer RNA (tRNA) molecules are approximately 80 nucleotides in length. Their secondary structure includes four short double-helical elements and three loops (D, anti-codon, and T loops). Further hydrogen bonds mediate the characteristic L-shaped molecular structure. tRNAs have two regions of fundamental functional importance: the anti-codon, which is responsible for specific mRNA codon recognition, and the 3' end, to which the tRNAs corresponding amino acid is attached (by aminoacyl-tRNA synthetases). tRNAs cope with the degeneracy of the genetic code in two manners: having more than one tRNA (with a specific anti-codon) for a particular amino acid; and 'wobble' base-pairing, i.e. permitting non-standard base-pairing at the 3rd anti-codon position. Lineage: Eukaryota; Metazoa; Chordata; Actinopteri; Siluriformes; Pangasiidae. The record is from RNAcentral.
GGCUCUGUGGCGCAAUGGAUAGCGCAUUGGACUUCUAGGCUCAGUGGCAGAGCUAUUCAAAGGUUGUGGGUUCGAGUCCCACCAGAGUCA